AGGUGAACCUGCGGAAGGAUCAUUAAAGAUUGACCCUCUGUCGAGCUUGCUCACAGGCACAUCAUAUCCAUAACACCUGUGCACUUGUCGGAUGGCUUAGUGAAGACCCCAAGGUUGGAUCUAUCCAUCUACUUUACAUAACAAAUCUGUAACAAAAGUAGUCUUAUUAUAACAUAAAAAAACUUUCAACAACGGAUCUCUUGGCUCUCGCAUCGAUGAAGAACGCAGCGAAAAGCGAUAAGUAAAGUGAAAUGCAGAAAUCAGUGAAACAUCGAAACUUUGAACGCACCUUGCGCUCCUUGGUAUUCCCAGGAGCAUGCCUGUUUGAGUGUCAUGAAAACCCUCAACCCUAGAUUGGUUAAAACCUUUCUUUGGUUUGGAUUUGGACGUUUGCCCAUGAUAAGUCGGCUCGUCUUAAAAGUAAAAGCUGGAUCUGUCUCGCGACAUGGUUUGACUUGGCGUAAAAAGUAUUUCGCUAAGGACAUCUUCGGAUGGCCCCGUUGCAGGACUAAAGACCCCUUUCGAAACCAUUGAUCUUCGGAUUAAAACUCUUGACAUCUGGCCUCAAAACAGGUAGGACUACCCCCUGAACUUAAGCAUAU
Molecule: ribosomal RNA, 602 nt
Filed under: Naganishia albida
Lineage: Eukaryota; Fungi; Basidiomycota; Tremellomycetes; Filobasidiales; Filobasidiaceae
Description: eukaryotic LSU rRNA
Rfam family: 5.8S ribosomal RNA (bases 181-334)
Source: RNAcentral